GACGAACGCUGGCGGCGUGCUUAACACAUGCAAGUCGAACGGAAAGGCCCUGCUUUUGUGGGGUGCUCGAGUGGCGAACGGGUGAGUAACACGUGAGUAACCUGCCCUUGACUUUGGGAUAACUUCAGGAAACUGGGGCUAAUACCGGAUAGGAGCUCCUGCUGCAUGGUGGGGGUUGGAAAGUUUCGGCGGUUGGGGAUGGACUCGCGGCUUAUCAGCUUGUUGGUGGGGUAGUGGCUUACCAAGGCUUUGACGGGUAGCCGGCCUGAGAGGGUGACCGGCCACAUUGGGACUGAGAUACGGCCCAGACUCCUACGGGAGGCAACAGUGGGGGAUAUUGCACAAUGGGCGGAAGCCUGAUGCAGCAACGCCGCGUGCGGGAUGACGGCCUUCGGGUUGUAAACCGCUUUCGCCUGUGACGAAGCGUGAGUGACGGUAAUGGGUAAAGAAGCACCGGCUAACUACGUG
RNAcentral lists this ribosomal RNA (468 nucleotides) under uncultured bacterium. RNAcentral describes it as "partial 16S ribosomal RNA". It matches the Rfam family "Bacterial small subunit ribosomal RNA", at positions 28 to 507 of the family's 1533-position model. The record is from RNAcentral.